Molecule: long non-coding RNA, 426 nt
Filed under: Homo sapiens (human)
Lineage: Eukaryota; Metazoa; Chordata; Mammalia; Primates; Hominidae
Description: HSALNT0314688
Source: RNAcentral
GAAUAACUUGCCCAAGAUCACAUAGCAAAAAGAUAACCUCAACACAUGCCCUGGAUCAAACUAGGAACAUGACUGAAGAAUAAAAUUGCUCCUCCUGCAAAGAUGGAAGAAUGUUGAGCUCUGUGAGAGCUCCCCACAGCAUGAGGAAAUAAAGGGGUUGAAACCAGAGAGAAGCUGAGUGGAGACCAAGCAAGAAGGCAGGAAAGUAGGAGCCAGGAAGAGACAGGUGGCAAGCUCCCCACCAGCCCAGGAAUGGUCCAGAAAUGCUGUUCAGGAGCCAGGGCCUGGAGUUAGGAACCUUAGAAAUCUGCUCUAUUCUACUGUGGCUGAGUUGGCACCAAAGCUGCAAGACAAAGUCCUUCUCACUCUUCUCUCUCAUUUCCUCAACCUGAAGGAGUCUUUCUUCACAGCCACCACCACCUCAGG